AGCAGCCGCGGUAAUUCCAGCUCCAAUAGCGUAUAUUAAAGUUGUUGCAGUUAAAAAGCUCGUAGUUGAAUUUCGGGGUCAGUAGGUCGGUCGUGCCACUGGUAUGAACUGGUUUUACUGAUUCCUCCCUCUUGAAGAACUGUAAUGCCAUUAAUUUGGUGUUGCAGGGAAUCAGGACUGUUACUUUAGAAAAAAUUAGAGUGUUUAAAGCAAGCUAACGCCUGAAUACAUUAGCAUGGAAUAAUGAAAUAGGACGUUCGAUCCUAUUUUGUUGGUUUCUAGGAUUGACGUAAUGAUUAAUAGGGAUAGUUGGGGGCAUUAGUAUUCAAUUGCCAGAGGUGAAAUUCUUGGAUUUAUUGAAGACUAACUACUGACGAAAGCUAAUUUGACCAAGGAUGUUUUCAUUAAUCAAGAACGAAGUUAGGGAUCGAAGACGAUCGGAUACCGU
This 448-nucleotide ribosomal RNA is filed under the name uncultured Glomus. RNAcentral's name for it is "SSU rRNA". It matches the Rfam family "Eukaryotic small subunit ribosomal RNA", at positions 569 to 1018 of the family's 1831-position model. Lineage: Eukaryota; Fungi; Glomeromycota; Glomeromycetes; Glomerales; Glomeraceae. The record is from RNAcentral.